UCAGGCAUGUGUGAGAGAUGGUGUCGUUUGAGAGGAAACCUCCUCUUCAUCAUGAAGAAACCUCAACAGAGAUCUGCGUUAGAGGAGGUGCUGGUUCUGGAGAGAUGUCAUGUUCUGGAGAGCACAGACAACAACAAUGGAUUACUUAUUAGGUUUGACAGUGGAGAGCCAGGUGUGUAUGUAGAGUGUGUGAAUUCAGGUGAGGUGAACUCCUGGCUGGUGGCUCUGAGAGAAGCUAACUCUGAGGGGUUAACCAACCGGAUCAGACACCUCCGGACACAACUCAUGGAUACAGCCGGGAAUAACGCUGUAGAGACCACUGUAGUUGAUGCUGUGUGUCCUGCUAAACAGUCACCAUUGGAGUUCA
Long non-coding RNA from Oncorhynchus nerka (sockeye salmon), 367 nucleotides. RefSeq lists it as uncharacterized. The record is from RefSeq and is a predicted model, not a curated record. The transcript has 3 exons. Lineage: Eukaryota; Metazoa; Chordata; Actinopteri; Salmoniformes; Salmonidae.